Molecule: long non-coding RNA, 929 nt
Organism: Ictalurus punctatus (channel catfish)
Lineage: Eukaryota; Metazoa; Chordata; Actinopteri; Siluriformes; Ictaluridae
Source: Ensembl
GUACUGUGUCUGGAUUUGAAUCUGACAUACUGUGUUCUGGAUGCUGUGUCUGGAGUACUGUGUCUGGAGUACUGAGAAUGGAGUACUGAGUCUGAAGUGCUGUGUCUGGCUGUACUGAAUCUGAUGUACUGAGUGUGAAAUACCGUGCCUGGUGUACCGUGCAUCUGAAGUGCAGUGUCUGGCUGCACUGAAUCUGACGUAGUGAGUCUGAAGUGCUUUGUCUGGAGUAAUGAAUCUGAAUUACUGUGUCUGGAGUUCUGAGUCUUUAGUACAGUGUUUGUAGUACUGAGUCGGGAGUACUGCUUCUAGAGUACCUUGUCAGAAGUACUGUGUCUGUAGUAUUGAGUCUGAAGCAUUGUGUUUUUAGUACCAAAUCUAGAUUACUGUGUCUGUAGUACUGAAUCUGGAGUACUGAGUCUGACCUUCUUGGAGGAUAAUUAUGUGCAGUGAAAUGGACUCGAUUGAGUUGAUUUGGUUAAAUCGGACAGCGAGACGUAAAAAGUGCCACCCCCCCCCCCCCCCCCCCAUUUGUCUUCACUCUCUAUUUUUUCUUCACAGCUCCUGCUUUGUUUUAUCUGCUCAUCGAUCAUGUCUCCACCACUUCUACUCCAAUCCAUCAACCUCUCCUCCAUCUCUCUCUCUCCAUCUCUCUCUCUCUCUCUCUUCAGCUUUCUUUUUCAUAUCCCUCUCUUUUUUGUGCCUCACUCUAUUGUUUCUCUCUCUCUCUCUCUCUCUCUCUCUCUCUCUCUCUCCCCCCUUGCUGCCUUGUAUCCAUCUUUCUGAUCCCUCUGUCUGCAGGACCGUUCUGUAUAUCAGCAGAGAUUUCACACUCGUGAUCCUCUGCGCAGGCUGCCUGAUCAUUCACGCUGGGAAACACACACACACACACACACACACACACACACACACACACACACACAGCCAUCCCU